RNA transcript from Suricata suricatta (meerkat), 3156 nucleotides. It is a transcript of the gene named laccase domain containing 1, with no coding region annotated. The transcript is spliced from 8 exons. Lineage: Eukaryota; Metazoa; Chordata; Mammalia; Carnivora; Herpestidae. The record is from RefSeq and is a predicted model, not a curated record.
UCCAGGCUCCGGCCACGGCGCAGCCGCGCUCCCUGGAGACCGGUGUAUAAAUCUAAGCGGAGCGCUGGCAGGCGGUACGGGAAAACUGCCUACGGUGCGCGUCCCUGGAUCAGGAAGUGCCAAAGGGGCGGAGAGGAGGCGUUGGUGGAGCUCGGGCAGGUGGAGACCGAGCGCGGGACCGGGCGGGGUGUCAUUUCCCAAGGCCGAGGGGAAGGUGGCCGUCACCUUCCUAGCUUCUCAAUGUUUUUCAAAACUGGCGAGAUGAACUUCAGCGGGAGCCCCCUACGGUGAUUUCUUAGAAGCCACAGAAGUCUUCUUUGAAGAGCUGUGUACCCUCUUGAAGGAUGGCAGAAGCCGUGUUGAUUGAUUUCUUUGGUUUGAAAUUUAACUCGCAGAAAAACAGUCACCAGGCACUACUGAAGACAUUGAAUGCUGUCCGAUACCACCAUGCUGCCAAAGCCAAAUUUCUUUGCAUAAUGUGUUGUAAUAGCAUCAGCUGUGAAAAGGAUGGGACACAUAACUUUGAAUUAGAAGCGAGCAAUGGAUUAUCAGUUUUCUUGAGAGAAUUUGAGACUGUCAGCAAUCCCAGUAUGGCUGCCUCUUUGUAUACCAUUAAACAAAAAAUUGAUGAAAAAAAUUUGAGCAACAUUAAGGUAAUUGUACCCAGGCACCGGAAGACGUUACUGGAAACUUUUAUCAAUCAACUUUUCACCAAUGUCUACAAUUUUGAGUUUGAAGAUUUACAGAUGACUUCGAAGGGAGGUCUCUUGAAUCAGUCCACUGAAAUAAACAUGAUCACAGAUCAAGAACAAGAAGCAAUCCAGAAUGAAAUAAAAACAUAUUUGAGAAGUCUGCCAGCCCUGAAAGGAGAACUAACCAUUAUCACAUCUCCUUUAAUAUCAGAUAUUUUCUUGCAUGGAUUUACUACAAGAACAGGUGGAAUUUCUUACAUACCGACUCUUAGCUCCUUCAAUCUCUUCAGUAGUUCCAAACGGAGAGAUCCCAAGGUGGUUGUUCAAGAAAAUCUGCGUAGGUUGGGGAAUGCUGCAGGAUUUAAUGUGGAGAAAUUUUACCAAAUAAAGACUGAUCAUGCCAAUGACGUCUGGAUUAUGGGAAGGAAGGAGCCUGAAUCUUAUGAUGGAAUCACCACAAAUCAGAGGGGAGUCACAAUAGCAGCCCUUGGCGCUGACUGUAUACCAAUAGUUUUCGCUGAUCCUGUCAAAAAAGCAUGUGGGGUUGCUCACUCUGGUUGGAGAGGUACUUUGUUAGGUGUUGCUAUGGCUACAGUGCAUGCUCUGAUCACAGAAUAUGGCUGUAGUUUGGAAGACAUUAUUGUUGUACUGGGACCUUCAGUAGGACCCUGCUGUUUUACUCUGCCAAAGGAAUCAGCAAAGGAAUUUCAUAAUCUUGAUCCUGAAUGUGUUCGGUUAUUUGAUUCACCAGAUCCCUAUGUUGACAUUCGUAAAGCCACUAGGAUUCUUCUAGAACGGGGAGGAAUUCUACCACAGAAUAUUCAGGACCUGAACCAAGAUCUCAACAUCUGUACAUCCUGCCAUCCUGACAAGUUUUUCUCCCAUGUCCGAGAUGGCCUUAAUUUUGGUACACAGAUUGGCUUCAUAUCAAUUAGAGAAUGAGAUAACUUGACUGGAUUUUUACACAACUGUUUCCUGGCUCCUUCUAAACCAACUACAAGAGAGAAAUUUAGCUGUUUGAUUUACUUAAAGCCAAAAGGAUUAUAAUGGAUGAUUCAUCUUUAGCAUUUAAAAAAUUAAAAGAAAAAAAGAAGUUGACUAUGCAUAAAUAAGGCCUGAGUCCACUGGAGUAGACUGAAUCAUCUAUGUAGAACUACAGGAUAAGAAAAAAGGACGUUUGAGGGUGAAAUCUCAUACAACACCUGUGUUUGAAGAACAAGAAGCUGAAUCAAUAAUAAUAAAAAAAAAGAUUAAUCAUUAGAAAUAAGGGAAAAAGCCCAGAAUAUUCCUAUUUUGAAGAAAGAAGCCAGCAUGGAUGUGAGAGGUACUCAGAAUUUUCAGAGAUACAACGUACAAGAAAUUUUCAGAGAUGGAAUAAAAUGAGGACUGAGAAGAAGCCAGUGGAUUAACCAUACUGAAGCUGUUCUGUAGGCAGUGGUGGCGGAGACGGAUUUCAGGGCACUGAGGAAGAGGAUGCAUAGGUGACCAUUCUUCUCUGAUAGUAUUGACUACAGAAGCUAAAGCACUGGGGGCUGUGUCUCAAAGGAAGGGGUAUUUUUUUUCUUUUGAUCAGGAGAUUUAAAUAUAUUUGUAGGCUGAAGAGAGGAGUCAAGCUAUUUUCACUUGGGAAAAAUGGUAUAUAUGGCAUGUAUUUUUAAUGUGAGUAGUCACAUUGCAUCUUAAAAUUUUUUAUUCUACUCAUAUGUUUCUUAUAUGAACAGGUAGUAGAAUGGUGGAAAAUUACAUUUGUUGGGUACAUACAUUACUUCAUUUUAUCUUUACAGCUAUUCUGAAAUACAUAGGCCAAUUGUUACUCUUUUUAUUCAGAUGCGAAAAUGAAGUCUCACUGAGGUAGAGUUUAAAAUCAUAUGAUUUGUGAUAAAGUAGAAUUUGAACCCACAUCUUGUGACUUCAAAUCUCAUUUCUGAUUUUACAGUUAAUCAAAACUAUCUAAGUUAAAUUUUUAUUUUCAACUUUUUGUUAAUAUCAUCCAUUCAUGCAUUCAGUCAAAAUUUUGUUGAGAUACUAGGAUAGGUUAAAAAAAAUACAGUUUUAGCCUUUGGGAGGUUUAAUCUAUAGUGAAAGAUGGCAAUCAAUAAACCAGCAAUUGCAAGACUGUGAUAUGUGUCGUAAAGUUGUCACAACCUGAUACCUUGUUCAGUUGAAUUCUUUUAUGCAACUCAUAGGUCAGUAUAAAAUUUAAAUACCUCAUUUCUUCCAGUUCAGGGAAGGCAUUAAACACAAAGCAUAGGACAACAAUUUCAAACUCAGGCAAAAUACUUUUAUUUAAUGUAAACAAUAAAGAUUAAGAAUUUCACACAUUAAGAAAGGUUGAUAAUUUUCCAAUUCUUCACUAUGCAUUAUUUUGUUUGAAGCUUACAAAUUUACAAGAGUAUUAGGUGGCCAUAUUUCACGUUGUGUACCAAAAUAUUCUAAAACAAAAUAAAAUUAUAUUUGAUUAUGA